GGGGCCUGGGGUUGGAAACGACCUCACUCGCAGCCUUUAGUGUGAUUAAAAUGUUCUUCACAUUCAUAAGUUGUAUUUUAUAUAACUCCAAAGUUAGAGGGCCAAUCAAGUUUUAAGAAUACAUUCAAAAGGAAAAACGAAAGUAGAUGCCCGUUGGAGCGUUAAUACAGAGGCAGCAUGGAUGGACGUCAGUGGUGUGACGGCCUUACAGGGCUGUCGAGGUCCCUUGUUCCUGUCUCUGCCAGCCUACUUGAUGCUGUGUGGCCAGUGCUGAGCACAGCCAGGGGUUGCCUCCCACCCCCAGCAGCAACAGGAAGCUUAUGGCUUGAUGGAAGAGCAACUCUAGAGUACC
RNAcentral lists this long non-coding RNA (352 nucleotides) under Fukomys damarensis (Damara mole-rat). RNAcentral's name for it is "lncRNA (ENSFDAG00000022004.1)". The record is from RNAcentral. Lineage: Eukaryota; Metazoa; Chordata; Mammalia; Rodentia; Bathyergidae.